AACGAACGCUGGCGGCGUGCCUAACACAUGCAAGUCGCGCGAGAAAAGGGGGCAACUCCUGAGUAAAGCGGCGAACGGGUGAGUAACACGUAGGUGAUCUACCCUCGAGUCCAGGAUAACCUACCGAAAGGUGGGCUAAUACCGGAUAUGACCACGGGAAUCUCGGUUCCUGCGGUGAAAGGUGGCCUCUGCUUGCAAGCUACCGCUCGGAGAUGAGCCUGCGCGCCAUUAGCUAGUUGGUGGGGUAACGGCCCACCAAGGCUAUGAUGGCUAGCUGGUCUGAGAGGAUGGCCAGCCACACUGGGACUGAAACACGGCCCAGACUCCUACGGGAGGCAGCAGUGGGGGAUAUUGCGCAAUGGGCGAAAGGCUGACGCAGCGACGCCGCGUGAAGGAUGAAGUCCGUUAGGAUGUAAACUUCUUUUGCAGGGGAUGAAUGUCCCGUUUCACGGGAUUGACCGUACCUUGCGAAUAAGGAUCGGCUAACUACGUGCCAGCCGCC
Molecule: ribosomal RNA, 502 nt
Filed under: uncultured bacterium
Lineage: Bacteria
Description: bacterial SSU rRNA
Rfam family: Bacterial small subunit ribosomal RNA
Source: RNAcentral